GGCGAUCAGAUACCGCCCUAGUUCUGACCGUAAAUGAUGCCAACUAGCGAUCCGCCGGCGGAUUUCAAACGCCCUGGUGGGGAGCUUCCCGGAAACGAAAGUCUUCCGGUUCCGGGGGAAGUAUGGUUGCAAAGCUGAAACUUAAAGGAAUUGACGGAAGGGCACCACCAGGAGUGGAGCCUGCGGCUUAUAAUUUGACUCAACACGGGAAAACUCACCCGGCCCGGACACCGCGAGGAUUGACAGAUUGAUAGCUCUUUCAUGAUUCGGUGGAUGGUGGUGCAUGGCCGUUCUUACUUCGUGGAGUGAUUUGUCUGGUUUAUUCCGAUAACGAGCGAGACUCUCGCCUACUAACUAGUCCGCACACUGCACCGGCAGCAAUGCCCUGUGUGCUCCCGAAAGGAAGUACUUCUUAGAGGGAUUUUCGGCGUUUCAGCCGCACGAAACUGAGCAAUAACAGGUCUGUGAUGCCCUUAGAUGUCCGGGGCUGCACGCGCGCUACACUGGCGAAAUCAGCGUGCUUGUCCUCUCGCGAAAGCGACUGGUAAACCGGUGAAAAUUCGCCGUGAUUGGGAUCGGAAAUUGCAAUUAUUUUCCGUGAACGAGGAAUACCAAGUAAGUGCGAGUCAUCAACUCGCGUUGAUUACGUCCCUGCCCUUUGUA
RNAcentral lists this ribosomal RNA (663 nucleotides) under cf. Filenchus ditissimus TSH-2005. RNAcentral's name for it is "SSU rRNA". It matches the Rfam family "Eukaryotic small subunit ribosomal RNA", at positions 1003 to 1664 of the family's 1831-position model. Lineage: Eukaryota; Metazoa; Nematoda; Chromadorea; Rhabditida; Tylenchidae. The record is from RNAcentral.